UUAAAUCUAGUAGUUUAAUGUCCUGGUAA
RNAcentral lists this non-coding RNA (29 nucleotides) under Mus musculus (house mouse). The record is from RNAcentral. Lineage: Eukaryota; Metazoa; Chordata; Mammalia; Rodentia; Muridae.